AACGCACCUUGCACUUCCAUUAACCGGAAGUAUAUCUGUUCGAGUAUCAUUAUACUCUCAAAUACAACAUUUUGUUGUAUUUGGACUUGAGUGUUCUGUCUGGCCGCUUUCGCAGACCGUCACUUUAAAUGAAAGAGUUUGAGAGCGUCUUUAAGACAUCUCUGUUCCCUUGACUUGUUCAAAAUGAGCCUUGGGAACGCUGGUCUUGCGCUGUACUGAAGCAAACUCUAGGACCGUGAGGCAUAAAGGCCUUGAGCCUUUCACCUUGAAUCUCGAAUCAGAUAAGAUUACCCGCUGAACUUAA
Molecule: unclassified non-coding RNA, 304 nt
Filed under: uncultured fungus
Lineage: Eukaryota; Fungi
Description: sequence contains ITS2
Source: RNAcentral